CCCCCACCCCUCUCUCAGCAGCAUGCCGGCUCCACGUUUCAGCGACGAUUCAGUAGACCGAGGGCACUCAGUUCUCCCUCUCAGUUUUGAUGUUUGCAUAAACAAGUCGCUGUUGUGCUAGUACUAUUGCCGCUUCAGUAAAAACGAGGCAUAAUUCGAGGGAUAAAUUAGUGGGCACCAUUAGAAUCAUCGACUGCUCCUGCCAGGAAUCAGUUCUAGGCUGGGCCGAUCCUGCGAGGCAGAUCCUGAACCCGCAACCUGCGGUUGGAGUCUUGUGCUGCCUCUUCCUCCCCCAUAAGUUGAUUAUCCUUUUUUCUUAGUUUCCCCCCUUGUUUUCUUGGCACUGGUUUUCUAUCAACCUAAAAAAACUUAGGAUUUGUUUGUUUCAUUUCUCUAAGAAGCCUUUUGAUCAUUGCGCCUUGUUUAGUGGAUAUUUCCCUUAGGAUUCUUGUUUUUGCUUAGUAGUCUGCAAAUGUAUGUGGUUUUUUUUAUCCGCUGGUGUGGUGUGAUGUGAUGUGGAAGACCUGUUGGGAUUUGGGAUUAUUAGAUGGAGAAAUCGGGGACUUAGAUGCCGCCGGCAGUGCCCAGCUUGCAGCUAGCGAGAAAUGGAACAGUUCUUGGCUCCGGGCAUGUCGACUGAGAUGCUCUUUCUUUGUUGUGUUGUUGUCCCUAAGAUUAUUAUCCUUGCUUUGUUGUGGAGGAGGCAUGCUUGUUUCCCCUUCUUUGCGUUUUUGUUGUUUUGAUCAAGACCUGGGGAUUCUCUUGUAAUGGCCGAGUGCUCCUUGGCAACACUGGGAGGCCAGUAUCGUGGGGGAUGGACCCAAUCCAGCGCCAAGCGCUCGCCAAGAAACAUAUCAAUUAGGAUGUCAAAGAGGUAGCUUUGUUCUUCAGUUUUUGUGAUAUCACUACUAGUAUGGACCAUAUAGAGUUAUGGGUUUAUGUACUUAUACUUCAUUUGGGCUAUUCCAUAUUUGUAGGAACUACAUUCAUAAAAUUCCCCUUCCAUGCCAGUCCAAAUUUAAUUGAGCGAAACAGCGGAAAAGCUGCGCAUUUACCUCUUAUAAGUUUCAUCGAAGGGGUUACAAGUUGGAGACUCAAGUUAGAUGUUAUUUCUUUCAAUCAAUGAUAUGUUUAGAGAGUGUGAUCUCACCAAAUCUAAUGUUGCUCUUUGAUGAAGCGCUUCUGACUGGCAGUGUAGUUUUUGCGUAUUUGGCUGGGGUUGCACCCUAUCGACCUACAAUACCCUGCACCCGAAAUCCCAGCGCCAAUCAACAUCUUACAGCACCAAUCUCCUUUGAUUCUGGUAGGAAUGGAAAACGUUUGCUUGACAAGAGUACAUCGUCUGACCCCAAUGAUACAAGGAAUGAAGUGAUGGCUAAACUUUCUGAAGCCUUAGAAGCAAAUGGUCAAGAUGCUAGUUCUGAUAGCAGAGAUGAAAGACUAAAAAUGAUAGGAAAAACUAUCCUUUGAGUAUGCUUGCAAUUCAUGGAUGUCCCAGGUUGCGGGUUCUUCUAAUCACGUUUCAACUUCUUGAAAUGGAGGCAAGAAAUGUCUCUGGAAGUUUUGAACUUCUAGAUGGGAUCAGGUGGUUGGAAGUGUCAAUUAUGUUGAUAGAUAGCUUGAUUGAACCAGCAUUUAUGAAAUGGAUCGAAGAAGAGCAAGCCCUGGAAAAUGGCAGGAUCGAUGAGAAGCUUAUGAUGGUGAUUAGUAGAAAAAUAAAGGAAGACAAUUGGAUCUUGAAGAGAUUCCACAGAUUAGGGAAAGUUGAGCUCUAUUUGGACCUACUCUUUUUCAUAAGAUUUGGUUCUGCAAGGUCUGAUAGCUAUUUUGAUACUAAAUUUCUGGCUGAAAAUGGAGCAAGGAUUUUGGAGGACCUGGUAAUUUUCUUGGCUGAUGUGAUUGCUAGUAUUUAUCUAGAGAUCAUGUCAGUUGAUGGUGACAUGCCUACUAAGGUUGUUGGCUCCAGUUUAGCUCUAUGUUCUCUAUCGAUAAGAGAACUUCAAAAGCAGCGUAAUGAGGUGGCAAUUAACGGGUGGUUGCACCAAUAUUUGAAGUUAGUUGUUUCAAUGUACGAGGACAGGUUUGAGUUACAUGAUCAUUAUCAAUGGCGACCGCAAAAAUGGCCACCGGUGGACUUCGUCGCCGUCUCCGGCCUCGUGUAUGACGCCGUCGGCGAGCUCCUACACACGGCCACCAGCGCGGUCCGUCCUGUCGUCCCCGGCCUUGUGUAUGACGCCGUCGGCGAGCUCCUACACACGGCUACCGGCGCGGUCCGUCCCGUCGUCUCCGGCCUCGUGUAUGACACCGUCAGCGAGCUCCUACACACGGCCACAGGCGCGGUCCGUCCCGUCGUCUCCGGCCUCAUGUAUGACGUCACCGUCGGGCUCCCACACACGGCCACUGCACGGUCCAUCCCAUCAUCUCCGGCCUCGUCUACAACGUCGUCGUCAAGCCUCCAGGCACGACCACCUCCUCCUGUCAGCGUCGAUCGCUAG
Molecule: non-coding RNA, 2495 nt
Organism: Aegilops tauschii subsp. strangulata
Lineage: Eukaryota; Viridiplantae; Streptophyta; Magnoliopsida; Poales; Poaceae
Source: RefSeq, a predicted model, not a curated record